AUUGAACGCUGGCGGCAUGCUUUACACAUGCAAGUCGAACGGCAGCGCGGGCUUCGGCCUGGCGGCGAGUGGCGAACGGGUGAGUAAUGCAUCGGAACGUGCCCAGUAGUGGGGGAUAGCCCGGCGAAAGCCGGAUUAAUACCGCAUACGACCUGAGGGUGAAAUCGGGGGACCGAAAGGCCUCGCGCUAUUGGAGCGGCCGAGGUCGGAUUAGCUAGUUGGUGGGGUAAAGGCUUACCAAGGCGACGAUCCGUAGCUGGUCUGAGAGGACGACCAGCCACACUGGGACUGAGACACGGCCCAGACUCCUACGGGAGGCAGCAGUGGGGAAUUUUGGACAAUGGGGGCAACCCUGAUCCAGCCAUGCCGCGUGCGGGAAGAAGGCCUUCGGGUUGUAAACCGCUUUUGUUCGGGAAGAAAUCCUCUGGGCUAAUACCCCGGGGGGAUGACGGUACCGGAAGAAUAAGCACCGGCUAACUACGUG
RNAcentral lists this ribosomal RNA (484 nucleotides) under uncultured bacterium. Its description in RNAcentral is "partial 16S ribosomal RNA". It matches the Rfam family "Bacterial small subunit ribosomal RNA", at positions 28 to 507 of the family's 1533-position model. The record is from RNAcentral.